Acanthosepion pharaonis is the source of this 113-nucleotide non-coding RNA. The record is from the annotation of a GenBank genome assembly. NCBI's taxonomy places the organism in Eukaryota, Metazoa, Mollusca, Cephalopoda, Sepiida, Sepiidae.
UAUGUCCAUAUCACAUUGAAACACCAGUUUCCGUACAAUCAUCAAAGUUAAGCAAUGUUGAGCCUGGUUAGUAUCUAGGUGGGUGACCACUUGAGAAUACCAGAUGCUGUAAG